Mesocricetus auratus (golden hamster) is the source of this 2427-nucleotide long non-coding RNA. RefSeq lists it as uncharacterized. Lineage: Eukaryota; Metazoa; Chordata; Mammalia; Rodentia; Cricetidae. The record is from RefSeq and is a predicted model, not a curated record. The transcript has 2 exons.
UUUAAUUUUAACACCAAGUUAGUGGCAUUAGAGCUGAGUUGCUUUAUCUAUUUGAUUACUGUGAAUAAUGUGAAUCUCACUCAGUUCUCUGCUCCUUUAAAAUAUUUCAUAACUUCUAUUCUUACUUCCUUUGUCUUACAAUUUCCUAUCUGUUUGUGCCACUGAUUCAAAUAUAGUUAUACACCCCCCUCCCACUCUCUCCUCUUUCUGGCUUCUUCCUACAUCCCUUGUCUUCUCUUCUAGAGUUUUCCAUGAUUGAAAUGUCCUUGCCCACUAGCAAACCAUAUUACCUUUGUUUAUUUAUUUAAAAAAUAAUCGUCCCCUGGAGGGACAGCUCUAUGGCAGAUGACCAGAGUCCACGAGUCUCUGGGUUAGAUGCCCAGAACUGCACACACAUUUUGAAAAUGAGUAAGUAAAAGCAAAUCCCAUUGUGGGGUUGCAAAUGUCAUAAUAAUCACUAACACCUACAAGCAUGUUCAUGUUCUAGAAGUCUUCAGGCACUUGAUGUGGGCUGUCUUAUUUCCUAUUAAAUUUCUUUUGGAAAAAUUAUGCAUUAUCUAAGAAUUACUGAAAUUAACCCUCAUGAAGCAAACUUGUUUCUUGAUGACGUUAUUUUUCAAAAGUUAUUUGUUGUUGUUUACAUGAUCUUAAGAUGACGAGAUGUGUGUCACAUUUUUACCUUUCCUCCUAUUGGUCCACCGGAAGGCACUAAUAUUUCAGUGGAAUUGUAAGGAUAACACCCUACUUUUGCAGGGAAAGGGGAAUUAUUGGCCAGCAAGUAAAAUAAUGCAUAACAAACAUGAAAUAUGCAUCUCACUGAGAUUCUCAGGCAGUGUUAGCUUUCCACCUCUGUGAUGAAAUAACCAAGAUCACCGGCUCCUGGAGAGAAAGGCUUGACUCGGCGCUGUGUGGUUUCCAGCUCCUGAUUGGUUGGCCCUGUUUCAGUGUUAGCCUGUCAUCAUGCCUGACUGCGUGGUGAAGCACAGUGUCUGGACAGCAAUGAGGAAAGGGUGGGCAUCCCUCAGUCCCAUUCAGACACCUUGUCCCAGAGAUAGAGCCUGCCACAAAACCCCUUUCCCAAGGCUCCACUUACUCAGUGGCUCCACUCUAGGGGCCCGUCUUGAGGGGACGCGUAUGGUCUGCACUCUGGCUGUUGGGGACUACUUUUCCCCAAGAUAACAUUUUUCUUGGUUAUUUGGGAAUUUUGCAUGAUGCACCCUGAUACUCGGUUCCUGUACUUGGUCCUCUCCUCCCCUCCCCUUCCUUUUUCUGUUUUUAAUCAUCUAUAGUGGCUUAAGGUGUUUGAGGCACUUUUCUUCUGAAUGCCUUCGGAAGUUGGGUUUUUAUUUUGGGAAACAGCCAAAAGGCAUAUGGAGUCAUACCUGCUUAAUAACAUAGGUAAGCACUUUGGGGAAUUGUAUUUUUGUUGAAAUGUAAAUUCAAACUGCUAGGCACGGAGAGUGAUUUUUUUCCUUUUUUAUUGUACAUCUCGUGAACUACUGUAAAGGAAAAUGUCAGAGGGGCAUUAGAGGAAAGCGCUGUGGAGUGGCAGAAUGGGAAUAGCCAUAGGCCUCCCUGAGGCGACUGAAGAAUGACAUGCAGAGAUUCUUUGGUGUUCCAUAGGGGCUUUGUCCCUUCCGUUUGGUCAUAUGUCAUCCAUCAUGUGUAAUUAAUACUAUUUGAUUCAAAAAUAGCUUUAGAGUACUUUCGUCACGCUCAGCCUUCACUGUGGAUGUUAGUUGAUCGCUGAGGUGGGGGCAUGUGCCUUUGCCAUUAGAAGUUCCUAUUGAGACAUGCUGCACAGGAGUGCUGGUUUGAAAGAAAACGUACCCCGCAAAGGGGAGGGCACUGUUAGGAGGUGUGGCUUAGUAGGAGUGGGUGUGGCCGUGUUGGAGGAAGUGGACUUUGAGGUCUCCUCUGCUCGGUUUAUACACAAUGUGGCACAUAGAUCACCUCUUGUUGCCUGUGAAUCAAGAUGUCGGAACUCUUAGCCCCAGCAAGCGCUGUGUCUGCCUGAAUGCCACCAUGCUUCCCACCACGAUGGAAAUGGACUAAACCUCUGAAACCGAGGUGCAUGGCCGCGAGAGAGAUGGUCUUCCCGGUAAAGAAGUUUGCCAGCAAACCUGGCAGCCUGAGCUCAGUCCCUGGAAAGACGUGCUGGAAGGACAGGACCAACUCCCUCAAGCUGUCCUCUGACCUUGAUAAGCAUGCCUGGCAUGCACCCGCACACCCGCAUGAAUAAAUGUGAUAAUAACUUUUAAAGGAGGCUUGCUAGUGCUACAGUAUUGGAGCCUACAUUCUCCCCUGCUGAGGUGGAGCCUUCUGGUGCAUUCUUAAUUGGGUAGUGGGUAUUGUAGUUAGAUGAUAAGUUAUGGCAAAAGAGGAACAAACAUGAUUUAUUAAAACUGUGUUGCACAGAAAACAGUA